This 734-nucleotide ribosomal RNA is filed under the name Phallus rubicundus. RNAcentral describes it as "partial large subunit ribosomal RNA". Lineage: Eukaryota; Fungi; Basidiomycota; Agaricomycetes; Phallales; Phallaceae. The record is from RNAcentral.
GUAACGGCGAGUGAAGCGGGAACAGCUCAAAUUUGAAAUCUGGCGGCCUCGAGGUCGUCCGAGUUGUAAUCUGGAGAAGCGUUAUCAGCGCCGGCCCGCGUACAAGUCCCCUGGAACGGGGCGUCGCAGAGGGUGAGAAUCCCGUCUUUGACGCGGUCUUGUCCGGCGCGUUGCGAUGCGCUCUCGAAGAGUCGAGUUGUUUGGGAAUGCAGCUCAAAACGGGUGGUAAAUUCCAUCUAAAGCUAAAUACUGGCGAAAGACCGAUAGCGAACAAGUACCGUGAGGGAAAGAUGAAAAGCACUUUGGAAAGAGAGUCAAACAGUACGUGAAAUUGUUGAAAGGGAAACGCUCGGAGUCAGUCGCGUCUCYCGGGACUUCAACCGCGCCUCGGCGCGGCGUACUUCCCGGGUCAGGACGGGCCAGCGUCGAUUUCGACCGUCGUAAAAAGGCGYGAGGAACGUGGCACCUUYUCGGGUGUGUUAUAGCCUCGCGUUUCCUUAUGCGACGGUGGGGAUCGAGGGUCGCAGCGCGCCUUCACAGGCCGGGGUUCGCCCACGUAACGCGCUUAGGACGCUGGCUUAAUGGCUUCGAGCGACCCGUCUUGAAACACGGACCAAGGAGUCUAACAUGCUCGCGAGUGUUCGGGUGGAAAACCCGUGCGCGUAAUGAAAGUGAAAGGUUGGGACCCUCCUCGGAGGGGCACCGACGCCCGGACUUGAGCUACUGCGACGGUU